UGUAGGUCAGAUGUUGUUUAUUUAUAGCAAACUGGAUGAAAAAAAGUGUAGAAAAUCCGUGGGAUUGAAUCAUGCAUCAGCUGACUGAAUAAAAAAGAAAUGUUCACAAUCAUAAAUGUUUUGUUAAAACCAAGCAUACCGAUGAAUUGUACGAAGUUUGGAAUAUUUAUCCAGUUGCUGGCUGCAUACUGGCUGCAUGUCUUAGGCCGGUUAGGUAUCAACGAAGAAGUUAAGAAAAGAUUGUGAGACAGUGACACUCCCAGAGUACUUUUGAUGAAGAACAGUAGGGUGAUGUUGUUUGUCAUUUCGACGGAACAAAUGCCAACAUUGAAACAAAGUGUUAUCAGGAUUGAAAUAUUGGUAUGUGACAGAAGCAUUUCUUUUCAAGGAGGUCUGUGGAAAAAGCAAUAAAAGUUCCCUGCACACGCUUGACGAAUUAUGAAUCCAUGAAGAAAUGUAGACAUGAUUAAGAGUGAUAGAGCCAGCCUGAGGAUGGUUAUUGAUGAAGACUAGUAGACGAAUGACACUAGAAGUACAUACAUCAAGACAAAACAUUUGAAUUUGCCUUUUCAGCCUUCUACAUUAUCAAUAGAAGCUUUUACUCUUUUCAUUAAAGCAGUGUAAGCCUGCGAACAACUACCUCCGGGUUGUAGACAAAUUCCAUGGACUCCUCAGAUCCUCGUCAAAAGCAGAAGAACUUUUAUAUUGAUUUGACUGUCCAACCAUUUUUAAAAAUAAACAUGAUUUUGAACGCAAUCUGUGUUCUUUCAUUGGAUUGUCUUCUGGUUUCCAUUUAUUUAGUCUAAGAGAACAAUAAAAAACUCUCUACAAUAUCCGCUUUUCCUGUAUAAUA
Molecule: long non-coding RNA, 853 nt
Organism: Mercenaria mercenaria
Lineage: Eukaryota; Metazoa; Mollusca; Bivalvia; Venerida; Veneridae
Exons: 6
Source: RefSeq, a predicted model, not a curated record